UACGUAGGGUGCAAGCGUUGUCCGGAAUUAUUGGGCGUAAAGAGCUCGUAGGCGGUCUGUCGCGUCGACUGUGAAAACCCGGGGCUCAACCCCGGGCCUGCAUUCGAUACGGGCAGACUAGAGUUCGGUAGGGGAGUCUGGAAUUCCUGGUGUAGCGGUGAAAUGCGCAGAUAUCAGGAGGAACACCGGUGGCGAAGGCGGGACGCUGGGCCGAUACUGACGCUGAGGAGCGAAAGCGUGGGGAGCAAACAGG
RNAcentral lists this ribosomal RNA (253 nucleotides) under uncultured bacterium. RNAcentral describes it as "partial 16S ribosomal RNA". It matches the Rfam family "Bacterial small subunit ribosomal RNA", at positions 524 to 776 of the family's 1533-position model. The record is from RNAcentral.